This is a long non-coding RNA of Ailuropoda melanoleuca (giant panda), 1751 nucleotides long. The record is from Ensembl. Lineage: Eukaryota; Metazoa; Chordata; Mammalia; Carnivora; Ursidae.
GGUUUUGUUAUGCAAAGUCAGUUUAGGUAUGGAAGAGAGAUAUGCACAUUUUCAGGUAGGCCUGGAAUGGCCCAGAAUGAUAAUCUGCAGCCGGCUGUCUAUUUGUGCUUGAACAAUGAAGCAUAAAGCUACGUUAUUAUUCUGGCCUGUAGGCAUCCAGGAGCUCUUUAAGUGGCUCUUGGGGUUUUCCAUGCAAACAGGUGGGUCACACUCAGGCCAAGGGGCCAUUUGGGAAAUGGUUCCCUGAUUCAGGCCCCUUGGCAGAUCUCAUUUCUUUUCCCUAGAAGUUUUAUUAUGAAAAAUUCAAAUAUACAGCAAAGUUGAAAGAACUUUACAGUCAGAUGUCCGCCGCCUAGAUUCUACCAUUAACAUUCAACCUUUCUUGUUGAUCCCAUUAUCUAGCCAUUUCUCUCCCCAUUCAUCGAUCCUCCCCCUCACUAAGGGGGCGGGAGCAAACUCCAGAUGGCUUUUUUUUUUUUUUUUUAAGAUUUUAUUUAUUUAUUCGACAGAGAUAGAGACAGCCAGCGAGAGAGGGAACACAAGCAGGAGGAGUGGGAGAGGAAGAAGCCGGCUCCUAGCAGGGAGCCUGAUGUGGGGCUCGAUCCCAUAACGCCGGGAUCACGCCCUGAGCCGAAGGCAGACGCUUAACCGCUGUGCCACCCAGGCGCCCCUCCAGGUGGCUUUUAAGUGGUGAUUCCAGAGGGUGCCCCUUGCAUACCUUCAGUUUUAGGAUCCUGGGCAAGCGCCGCUAUUCCCCCGCUAGCCGGAUUUGGCGGACGCGGAAGGCGGGAUUGGGGCUCCGGGGCGCCACGGCGCCCCCCGGCGGAGGCACCGCUCGCUGCAGCCCCGCGGGCCGAGGGGUGCGCUUCUGGGCGCUCGCCGCCGCCGCCGCCGUGCCUUUGAGUCAGCAAACUCCGCCGCCUGCCAGGCCGCCGGCUUGGCCCUGCCGGGAGGAGCCGUCCGACUUUCUAUCUGGCUUAUCUUCGCCUUCUUGGAUCAAGGUCAGGCAUUGGACAUCCCUGGGGAAAUGAUUUGCUUCACACAAUGGCCAAGGUAUGCAUUGCACCCACAUGGGCUGAGUUUCAGAGCAUAGAGAUCUAAAAGUUUCUGCUUCUGUAAAUAUUACUAUUCCAUCUGACAAAACAGAUACUUGAAGAGAACAUUUUUUUAAAGGAGCAAGUGCCCUGUGAUCCUGAGGAAGAGACCUCAGCCUUUUGCCCUCCGAGGCCUUGGAAAAGUCUAGCACGGCUGGUAGUGAACGGUGACUGGCUGACACAGCGAGCCCUAGACACACGCCUCCACGUGUGCUCAUUCGAUCUUUGCAGCAGAUCACAAAGUAGGCAGGUGUCCCCCUUUUUAAAGGUGAGGAAACCGAGGCACAAAAAGGUUAAAUACUUGUCCUUGGCGAAGGGCAGAGUGGGAAUUCACAGCCCGGCUGCUUGGCACUGAACAGCUCCUUUGCUUUCCCGCUUGCUGUGCCUUCCUGCUUCUCUUCGUGGGAGUCAAGGGUGAAAUCUCCCUUCUCGCUUGGCCCUCACCUUCCUCGCCAGUCCUUCAUGUCCAGACUGCUGGCACUUUGAGCAGACUUGAACUGGACCAGUAGAUCACAAUUUCCGAUGCCGCUUUUCUCACAAGUGACCGACCUUCUCACAAGUGACCAAUUUGUGACGGAGGCGGCCAGCUCGGUGGGAAGCUUGUUAUUUCCGGCGUUGUUGCAACCCUUUCCUUUCUGGAAGGGAAUCUGUCACUCG